Molecule: long non-coding RNA, 3347 nt
Filed under: Marmota monax (woodchuck)
Lineage: Eukaryota; Metazoa; Chordata; Mammalia; Rodentia; Sciuridae
Source: RNAcentral
GAAAAAUAAAAAGAAACUCAUAAGUUGCUGACAGAAGUAAAAUUGAUAAAAUCCCUUGGAGGGUAAUUUGACCAUAUCCAACCUAGUAAUGAAUGAUAUAACCCCAGAUAAAUUCUUCCCAAAGUUGCCCUAGAUGUCAAGGCUCUUCGUUGUAGCACUGAUAGCAGAGAAAAAUUGGAUCACACGUAAUGUCCACCAGUAGGAAAAAAAAAAAAUCAUGAUGUUCCUCUGAUAAGACAAAUGAAUCACUAAAAUAAGUGAACUUGAUUUAUAUAUAGCAAUAUAAUGUAAGUGAAUGAGGAAACAAAUUGCAAUAAUAUAUUUACAGAUGAAUAUUUUUUAAGUUGGAUUCUUCAGUUAUUGAAAUAAAAUUCAUAUGACAAUCACCUCACACUGGUUAGGAUGGAUGCUAUCAAGACAACAGGAAAUAACAGGUAUGAGUGAAGAUACAGAGAAAUUGGAACACUUUUGCUUUGGAUUCCAACUAAAGAUAGUCCUGAAUUUAUAAUGAUUAUAAUAGUCCCUAACUUAUAAGAUUGUUUUUUAACUUUAUGAUGAUAUAAGCCAGUUACAGUGGCUUGUAAUUCCAGAAGGUUGGGAGGCUGAGAUAGGAGGAUCAUAUAUUCAAAGCCAGCAACUUAGCGAGACCCUGUCUCAAAAAAUAAAAAGGGCUGGGAUGUAUGUGUGAUUGAGGGCCCUGGGUUUAAUCCCUAGUACCAAAAUAAAUUUUAAAAAAUUUAGAAAGGUAUUAAAGUGAUUCACAUUCAGGGCAAACUACACAUCUUUCUCCCUAUGAGGUCCUUGCUUAGCAUCCGGGCGGCCAUCUUAAGUGACAGCCGCCAUUUUAAGGAAAAAGUUUCACUUUCCUGCCCAAGGGCCUUUCUGAGAAAGGCUCACCACGCCCUGACACCACCCCAACCCCUAAUCUCCCACCCAGCUCUGAUUCCUGAUCCUCCCCCAUCAAAGUCCCAGAACCCAAGCCUGUUUUGCCCCUCUCUCUGCUACAGAGAGAUGGCCUUUAUGUGUCAGCUCUGAUAAGUAAACUCUCGUGUCUAACUCUGCCUGGCCUCCGUCUUUCAUUUUUCACUUACCAGUCUCUCAUUCUUUACUUUCCCUUCACACCCCUGUACUGGGGAUUGAACUCAGGGGCACUUGACCACUGAACCAUAUCCCUAGCCCUAUUUUAUAUUUUUCUUUAGAGAUAGGGUCUCACUGACUUGCUUAGCGCCUUGCUAUUGCCGAGGAUGGCUUUGAACUCAUGAUCCUCCUUCCUGCCUCAGUCUCCUCAGCCACUGGGAUUACAGGCUUACGCCACCGCGCCUGGCUCUUUUUUAUUUUUUUGAGACAGGGUCUCACAAAGUUGCUCAGGCUGGUGUCAAAUCGGCAGUCCUCCUACAUCAGCUUCCCGAGUUGCUGAGAUUAUAGGCGUGUGCCACCACACCUGACUGCAUUUUGAAUUUGGGUCUUUUCCCAGACUAGUGAUAAGCAAGAGGAUACUCUCACGAUGCCAGGAGGUGACAGUGAACCCCAACUCCCAGUCAACUGCAUGAUCACCUGGGGAAACAACCAAUUCUCUUCAAUCCAGUUUUGCUAAGCUAUAGCCUAAGUAGAUUAGGUGUAUAAAACACAUUUUUUUCUUUAAAUACAUUUUUAAAAAUUUUUUUAGUUGUCAAUGGACCUUUAUUUUUUUAUUUUAUGUGAUGCUAGGCAAGUGCUCUAUCACUGAGCUACAACUCCAGCCCUAAAUACAUUUUUAUUACAUGUUUUCAAUUUGCAAUGGCUGCCUCAGGAGAUAACUAUUAUAAGUUGAGGAACCCCUGUGCUUGUACCCACACCAAUGGAAAUGUGAAUUGGUGCAGACACAGUGGAAAACAGAAUUGUGGUUUCUUUCUUUCUUUCUUUCUUUCUUUUUUGUACUGGGGAUGUUGCUAAAAGCUCAGUCCUUGUCCCUGAUGCCAAUAUAAUAAAGAGGACACGGCUUUGAGAAAAAGGAAAAAGACAGUUUAUUGCUUUGCUAGCAAAGGAGAAACACGGGGCAUUCCUGUCCCAAAGGCUGUGAUUCUUCCUAUCAGUAGUAACAGUUUUUUUUUUUUUUUAAGAGGUGUAAUUCAGAGAAAAUGAGAUUAGGGAGGAGAGAUCAGGAAGGAGAUCUGGGAAAAGAUCAGGGAGGAAAAGGUUAAGGAAAAGAAGAUCUGAGUCCGGCACUGUGGACCACGCCUGUGAUCCCAGUGGCUCAGGAGGCUGAGACAGGAGGAUCAGGAGUUCAAAGCCUGCCUCAGCAAACUCGAGGCACUAAGCAACUCAAUGAGACCCUGUCUCCAAAAUACAAAAUAAGGGCUGGGGAUAUGGCUCAGUGUUUGAGUGCCCCUGAAUUCAAACCCUGGUACCCCCCCAAAAAAAGAAGAUGAUCAGGGAGGAGAAGGUCAGGGAGAAGAAGUUUGGAAUAAAGGAAAAAAUAUGUAAAUUUCAAAGCAACAAUGGAUAUAGUCAAAGCAUCAAGUAAACCCAUUACAGGGAUUGAACCCAGGGAUGCUCUACCAUUGAACUACAUCCCCAAUCCUUUUUAAAUUUUUAUUUAUUCAUUUAUUUUUAUCCUGAAGAAUUGAAUCCCAGGGUGCUUUACCACUGAGCUACAUCCUCAGUCUUUAUUAUUUUUAUUUUGAUACAGGGUCUUCCUAAGUUGUUGAGAGUCUUGCUAAGUCCUUUUUUAAAUAUUUGUGUGUUUAUUUAAAUUUUUACUUUUAGAUGUUGAUGGACCUCUAUUUGUUCAUUUAUUUAUAUGUGGUGCUGAGAAUUGAACCUAGUGCCUCACACACGCUAGGCAAGUGCUCUACCACUGUUACCACUGAGCCACAAACCCAGCCCCCCCCCCCGCCCUUUUUUUAAAGUUUUUUCAGUCAGGGUCUUGCUAAGUUGCCCAGGCUGGCCUCAAACUGUGCUCAGUGGUAAAGUGCCACUGGGUUCAAUCCCUAGUAUAAAAGAAAGAAAAGAAGGAAGGGAAAGAAAAUGGGAUAUAUACACAUGAAGGAAUAUUAUGCAAUCUUAAAAAGGGCUGAGGGUGUAGCUCAAUGGUAAAGUGCUUGCCUAGCUUGUAUGAGGCCCUGGGGUUUUGCUCCAGAUACAUACAUAUCAUUUUGGUGGGGUAUUGGGGAUUUAACCCAGGAGCAAUUUACCACUGAGCUAUAUCAUAAGCCCUUUUUUUUUUUUUAGUUCUUUAUUUUGAGACAGGUUCUCACUGAGUUGCUUAGGGCCUCGUUUAGUUGCUGAUGCUGGCCUCAAACUUACAAUCCUGCCUUCUCAGCCUUGCCAAGUCCCUGGGAUUGCAGCAGUGUGCCACUGCAUCUGGC